Non-coding RNA from Pelobates cultripes (western spadefoot toad), 235 nucleotides. Lineage: Eukaryota; Metazoa; Chordata; Amphibia; Anura; Pelobatidae. The record is from the annotation of a GenBank genome assembly.
GCCUUGACUUUCAUGGGGGUCAGUCCCUCUCUGCUGCAGCAGGGGUGCCCGGGGUUGUUGCCUGUGGGUUCCUGGUAUGGCCAGCGUGGUUGGCUGGAACGCGGUGUGCGUUCCAGCAGGUGGAAGUGACAUCGCGGCCGGGCCGGUGAACCGGAAGUGAUGUAAUUUUAGGCCGCGAGCAUUUGCGGACUGGACGUUCCCCGGCUCUAUUUAAACUGAAUGAUACAGACACUCU